UACAGAGGGUGCAAGCGUUAAUCGGAAUUACUGGGCGUAAAGCGUGCGCAGGCGGUGAUGUAAGACAGAUGUGAAAUCCCCGGGCUCAACCUGGGAACUGCAUUUGUGACUGCAUCGCUGGAGUGCGGCAGAGGGGGAUGGAAUUCCGCGUGUAGCAGUGAAAUGCGUAGAUAUCGGAAGGAACAUCAGUGGCGAAAGCGACUUCCUGGACCAAUACUGACGCUCAUGUGCGAAAGCGUGGGGAGCAAACAGG
This 253-nucleotide ribosomal RNA is filed under the name uncultured bacterium. RNAcentral's name for it is "partial 16S ribosomal RNA". It matches the Rfam family "Bacterial small subunit ribosomal RNA", at positions 524 to 776 of the family's 1533-position model. The record is from RNAcentral.